UACGUAGGGGGCAAGCGUUGUCCGGAAUCACUGGGCGUAAAGCGCGCGCAGGCGGUCAUCUACGUCUGGGGUGAAAGCCCGGAGCUCAACUCCGGGACUGCCUUGGAUACGGGAUGACUUGAGGAUCGGAGAGGCAAGGGGAAUUCCACGUGUAGCGGUGAAAUGCGUAGAGAUGUGGAGGAACACCGGUGGCGAAGGCGGGUCUCUGGGCCGUAACUGACGCUGAGGAGCGAAAGCAUGGGGAGCGAACAGG
This 253-nucleotide ribosomal RNA is filed under the name uncultured bacterium. RNAcentral describes it as "partial 16S ribosomal RNA". It matches the Rfam family "Bacterial small subunit ribosomal RNA", at positions 524 to 776 of the family's 1533-position model. The record is from RNAcentral.